AUGCAUGUCAACAUCAGAAGCCUCCUCCCUAAGUGUGUCUUACUCACUCCUCUAGCACACUCUGCUAACCCUGAUGUCCUUGCCGUGUCUGAAUCCUGGCUCAGGAAGGCCACCAAAAAUUCUGAGAUUUCCAUACCCAACUAUAACAUCUUCCGUCAAAAUAGAACUGCCAAAGGGGGAGGAGUUGCAGUCUACUGCAGAGAUAGCCUGCAAAGUAAUGUCAUACUUUCCAGGUCCAUACCCAAACAGUUCGAACUACUAAUUUUGAAAAUGACUCUCUCCAGAAAUAAGUCUCUCACUGUUGCCGCCUGCUACCGACCCCCCUCAGCUCCCAGCUGUGCCCUGGACACCAUUUGUGAAUUGAUCGCCCCUCAUCUAGCUUCAGAGUUUGUUCUGUUAGGUGACCUAAACUGGGAUAUGCUUAACACCCCGGCAGUCCUACAAUCUAAGCUAGAUGCCCUCAAUCUCACUCAAAUCAUCAAGGAACCCACCAGGUACAACCCUAACUCUGUAAACAAGGGCACCCUCAUUGACGUCAUCCUGACCAACUGGCCCUCCAAAUACACCUCCGCUGUCUACAACCAGGAUCUCAGCGAUCACUGCCUCAUUGCCUGUAUCCGCUACGGAGCCGCAGUCAAACGACCACCCAUCAUCACUGUCAAACGCUCCCUAAAACACUUCUGUGAGCAGGCCUUUCUAAUCGACCUGGCCCGGGUAUCCUGGAAGGACAUUGACCUCAUCCCGUCAGUUGAGGAUGCCUGGUCUUUCUUUAAAAGUAACUUCCUCACCAUUUUAGAUAAGCAUGCUCCGUUCAAAAAAUGCAGAACUAAGAACAGAUAUAGCCCCUGGUUCACUCCAGACCUGACUGCCCUCGACCAGCACAAAAACAUCCUGUGGCGGACUGCACUAACAUCGAAUAGUCCCCGCGAUAUGCAACUGUUCAGGGAAGUCAGGAACCAAUACACACAGUCAGUCAGGAAAGCUAAAGCCAACUUCUUCAGGCAGAAGUUUGCAUCCUGUAGCUCCAACUCCAAAAAGUUCUGGGACACUGUGAAGUCCAUGGAGAACAAGAGCACCUCCUCCCAGCUGCCCACUGCACUGAGGCUAGGUAACACGGUCACCACCGAUAAAUCCAUGAUUAUCGAAAACUUCAACAAGCAUUUCUCAACGGCUGGCCAUGCCUUCCGCCUGGCUACUCCAACCUCGGCCAACAGCUCCCCCCCCCCGCAGCUACUCGCCCAAGCCUCUCCAGGUUCUCCUUUACCCAAAUCCAGAUAG
RNAcentral lists this long non-coding RNA (1278 nucleotides) under Oncorhynchus mykiss (rainbow trout). RNAcentral describes it as "lncRNA (ENSOMYG00000057527.1)". Lineage: Eukaryota; Metazoa; Chordata; Actinopteri; Salmoniformes; Salmonidae. The record is from RNAcentral.